RNAcentral lists this ribosomal RNA (502 nucleotides) under uncultured bacterium. RNAcentral describes it as "partial 16S ribosomal RNA". It matches the Rfam family "Bacterial small subunit ribosomal RNA", at positions 30 to 523 of the family's 1533-position model. The record is from RNAcentral.
AUUGAACGCUGGCGGCAGGCUUAACACAUGCAAGACGAGCGGGGUGAUGGUGCUUGCACUAUCACUUAGCGGCGGACGGGUGAGUAAUGCUUAGGAAUCUGCCUAUUAGUGGGGGACAACAUCUCGAAAGGGAUGCUAAUACCGCUUACGUCCUACGGGAGAAAGCAGGGGAUCACUUGUGACCUUGCGCUAAUAGAUGAGCCUAAGUCGGAUUAGCUAGUUGGUGGGGUAAAGGCCUACCAAGGCGACGAUCUGUAGCGGGUCUGAGAGGAUGAUCCGCCACACUGGGACUGAGACACGGCCCAGACUCCUACGGGAGGCAGCAGUGGGGAAUAUUGGACAAUGGGGGGAACCCUGAUCAGCCAUGCCGCGUGUGUGAAGAAGGCCUUAUGGUUGUAAAGCACUUUAAGCGAGGAGGAGGCUCUUUUGGUUAAUACCCAAGAUGAGUGGACGUUACUCGCAGAAUAAGCACCGGCUAACUCUGUGCCAGCCGCCGCCGUAA